ACUCCUGCGGGAGGCAGCAGUGGGGAAUUUUGGACAAUGGGCGAAAGCCUGAUCCAGCAAUGCCGCGUGAGUGAAGAAGGCCUUCGGGUUGUAAAGCUCUUUUGUCAGGGAAGAAACGGUGAGAGCUAAUAUCUUUUGCUAAUGACGGUACCUGAAGAAUAAGCACCGGCUAACUACGUACCAGCAGCCGCGGUAAUACGUAGGGUGCAAGCGUUAAUCGGAAUUACUGGGCGUAAAGCGUGCGCAGGCGGUUUUGUAAGUCUGAUGUGAAAUCCCCGGGCUCAACCUGGGAAUUGCAUUGGAGACUGCAAGGCUAGAAUCUGGCAGAGGGGGGUAGAAUUCCACGUGUAGCAGUGAAAUGCGUAGAUAUGUGGAGGAACACCGAUGGCGAAGGCAGCCCCCUGGGUCAAGAUUGACGCUCAUGCACGAAAGCGUGGGGAGCAAACAGGAUUAGAUACCCGAGUAGUCCCA
Molecule: ribosomal RNA, 471 nt
Filed under: uncultured organism
Description: partial 16S ribosomal RNA
Rfam family: Bacterial small subunit ribosomal RNA
Source: RNAcentral